UGAUGUGAGGGCGAUCUGGCUGCGACAUCUGUCACCCCAUUAGUUGCCAGGGUUGAUUCAGCUUAUCUGGUGUCCCCUCCCUCCCUCACGGCUCCACAUGCAUCCCUCGCUCCCUCCCUCCCAAAGCUGUGCACUCAGUGGAAGAAGACGACCAUCCCAGAUAGGAGUGUACCAUUCUUUGGUCAAGGGUAUACUAUAGCUGUGCUCCCUGCUAAAACCUUAAAUGAUACUACAGUUUUCAAAGCAAAGAUUACUAUUUUGGGGGCGGGGGGAAUCGUGAUCCAAAGAAUACAAUGUUCCAACCUUU
Non-coding RNA from Podarcis lilfordi (Lilford's wall lizard), 307 nucleotides. The record is from the annotation of a GenBank genome assembly. Lineage: Eukaryota; Metazoa; Chordata; Lepidosauria; Squamata; Lacertidae.